CAUAUAGGCACAAUAUAAAAGUGGUCCCUUAUGGACAUCACUGCAUUUGAACAAUAUUGCUUAGUUUGCUCAUCUUUUUUGAAAAUCAUAAUAGUUUUGGAAACUUACAGAUUAUACUGUACAGAUUAUACAGAUUAUAUUAACUUACAGAUUGUACAUGCUUUUUUAGUAUUUUUUUUCAUUAAUCCAUUGUUUUUGUUCAAAUUCUUUCUCGUUUCCGGAAAUUGAAAAUUAUGGAAUUGGUUUUUUAAAUAAUUUUCUUUAUUACAGAAAAGCUCACAACAUGAUGACUCUAAUCAUGGCGGCUCAGAUUGUGGUUCUGAAAAGAAAGCGAAAAAACAUAAAAGCAAGCCGUGUAACUAAAGAAAAUUUAGCAACACCAUGUACUGUUCCUUAUUUUAAACUUAAUAUAAAUGUACUAUCAAUAAUUCAACAAAUAACUAGAUUUGGAUAGGCAUGUGCAAAAUAACAAUCAAUUUCACAUUAAUAUUAAAGAAAAGUUUCGACUCCUUAUAAAGUGGGCUUUUGGUGAAGUUUUUAGUAAUUAUCAAUUCACUAGCUAGACUGCUACUCCACCCUUUUAAUGUAUAGAUACAUGUAAGGUAUGUGUAAGUUUUAUGCACUAUGAAAAGUCCUAAAUUACCGUUGGAUGUAUGUAAUUAAAAUAUUUUCCUGGCAAAUUUAAUCACAAAAUUUCAUCUCUGCUCGCAAAAUAAUGUGUAUGUAUUUAUGCCAUACUUUAUGGUCCACAUUAAACAUAUUUGUUUGAAAUUAAAACGAUAAUCUGUAUUUUCACAUGCUUUUUAUAAAACGUAAUAAAUUACUGUCAUAAAUAUUUUAUACCUAAUUAAAUCGAAGGCUUAAAGUAUAUUUUCUUUCCACUUCGCUUUAAGUAGGUAUUACUCGUUGAAAUUGCAAUAAAUUUUAUUAUUAUUCUUUAAUGAGUUUGUGUGUAUUUUAUAUGCUUUGAAAUAAAGAAUUAAAUUUAAAUUGAA
Long non-coding RNA from Bombyx mori (domestic silkworm), 995 nucleotides. RefSeq lists it as uncharacterized. The record is from RefSeq and is a predicted model, not a curated record. The transcript has 2 exons. Lineage: Eukaryota; Metazoa; Arthropoda; Insecta; Lepidoptera; Bombycidae.